RNAcentral lists this ribosomal RNA (909 nucleotides) under uncultured bacterium. RNAcentral describes it as "bacterial SSU rRNA". It matches the Rfam family "Bacterial small subunit ribosomal RNA", at positions 33 to 933 of the family's 1533-position model. The record is from RNAcentral.
ACGCUGGCGGCAGGCUUAACACAUGCAAGUCGAACGGUAACAGGGAUUAGCUUGCUGAUUUGCUGACGAGUGGCGGACGGGUGAGUAAUGCUUGGGAAUCUGGCUUAUGGAGGGGGAUAACUACGGGAAACUGUAGCUAAUACCGCGUAAAAUCUUAGGAUUAAAGGGUGGGACUUUCGAGCCACCUGCCAUAAGAUGAGCCCAAGUGGGAUUAGGUAGUUGGUUAGGUAAAGGCUGACCAAGCCGACGAUCUCUAGCUGGUCUGAGAGGAUGACCAGCCACACUGGAACUGAGACACGGUCCAGACUCCUACGGGAGGCAGCAGUGGGGAAUAUUGCACAAUGGGGGGAACCCUGAUGCAGCCAUGCCGCGUGAAUGAAGAAGGCCUUCGGGUUGUAAAGUUCUUUCGGUGACGAGGAAGGUUGAUAGGUUAAUAGCCUAUCAAAUUGACGUUAAUCACAGAAGAAGCACCGGCUAACUCCGUGCCAGCAGCCGCGGUAAUACGGGGGGUGCGAGCGUUAAUCGGAAUAACUGGGCGUAAAGGGCACGCAGGCGGUGACUUAAGUGAGAUGUGAAAGCCCCGAGCUUAACUUGGGAAUUGCAUUUCAUACUGGGUCGCUAGAGUACUUUAGGGAGGGGUAGAAUUCCACGUGUAGCGGUGAAAUGCGUAGAGAUGUGGAGGAAUACCGAAGGCGAAGGCAGCCCCUUGGGAAUGUACUGACGCUCAUGUGCGAAAGCGUGGGGAGCAAACAGGAUUAGAUACCCUGGUAGUCCACGCUGUAAACGAUGUCGAUUUGGGGAUUGGGCUUUGAGCUUGGUGCCCGUAGCUAACGUGAUAAAUCGACCGCCUGGGGAGUACGGCCGCAAGGUUAAAACUCAAAUGAAUUGACGGGGGCCCGCACAAGCGGU